RNAcentral lists this ribosomal RNA (582 nucleotides) under Aspergillus nomiae. RNAcentral's name for it is "eukaryotic LSU rRNA". The stretch from base 209 to 362 matches the Rfam family "5.8S ribosomal RNA". Lineage: Eukaryota; Fungi; Ascomycota; Eurotiomycetes; Eurotiales; Aspergillaceae. The record is from RNAcentral.
CGUAGGUGACCUGCGGAGGAUCAUUACCGAGUGUAGGGUUCCUAGCGAGCCCAACCUCCCACCCGUGUUUACUGUACCUUAGUUGCUUCGGCGGGCCCGCCAUUCAUGGCCGCCGGGGGCUCUCAGCCCCGGGCCCGCGCCCGCCGGAGACACCACGAACUCUGUCUGAUCUAGUGAAGUCUGAGUUGAUUGUAUCGCAAUCAGUUAAAACUUUCAACAAUGGAUCUCUUGGUUCCGGCAUCGAUGAAGAACGCAGCGAAAUGCGAUAACUAGUGUGAAUUGCAGAAUUCCGUGAAUCAUCGAGUCUUUGAACGCACAUUGCGCCCCCUGGUAUUCCGGGGGGCAUGCCUGUCCGAGCGUCAUUGCUGCCCAUCAAGCACGGCUUGUGUGUUGGGUCGUCGUCCCCUCUCCGGGGGGGACGGGCCCCAAAGGCAGCGGCGGCACCGCGUCCGAUCCUCGAGCGUAUGGGGCUUUGUCACCCGCUCUGUAGGCCCGGCCGGCGCUUGCCGAACGCAAAUCAAUCUUUUUCCAGGUUGACCUCGGAUCAGGUAGGGAUACCCGCUGAACUUAAGCAUAUCAAAA